AAUAGCCUGGCCAGCUUUCACUGGUCAUUGGCUUCUUAGAGGGACUGUCAGCGUCUAGCUGACAGAAGUUUGAGGCAAUAACAGGUCUGUGAUGCCCUUAGAUGUUCUGGGCCACACGCAUGCUACACUGACAGAGCCAGUGAGUCCUUUUCCUUGGCUGGAAGGUCAUG
This 170-nucleotide ribosomal RNA is filed under the name Russulaceae sp. RNAcentral's name for it is "partial small subunit ribosomal RNA". It matches the Rfam family "Eukaryotic small subunit ribosomal RNA", at positions 1354 to 1545 of the family's 1831-position model. The record is from RNAcentral. Lineage: Eukaryota; Fungi; Basidiomycota; Agaricomycetes; Russulales; Russulaceae.